AGAUGAAGGAGAAAUGGUUGAGAGGAAUGAAGGAGGUGAGUAAGGGUUUGGGGUUUCUUUUUUUUUUUUAAUUUUGAGAAUGAAAAUUAUUAAAAUAAGACAAGUGUUUUUGAUUUUUUUCAAUUAGGACUAGUGUAGGGAUGACAGAGAAAAUGUUGGAGUGAAAGAGAUGAAAGAGAAAGGUUGAGAGGAAUGAGAGAGGCGAAUAAGGGAUUGGGGAUUUCUUUUUUUAUUUUUUUNAAUUUUGAGAAUGAAAAUUAUUAAAAUACCCUUAACCUUAAAACUUAGAAUUCAUGAUAUAANGNUAUUUUUGUCUACUGAAACCCGGUACACAUUGCUAAAAUGUACCAACUAAAAAGUAGGCGUA
This 367-nucleotide long non-coding RNA is filed under the name Vigna radiata. RNAcentral describes it as "long non-coding RNA (VRAD_LNC002176)". Lineage: Eukaryota; Viridiplantae; Streptophyta; Magnoliopsida; Fabales; Fabaceae. The record is from RNAcentral.